This 327-nucleotide ribosomal RNA is filed under the name uncultured eukaryote. RNAcentral describes it as "partial 18S ribosomal RNA". It matches the Rfam family "Eukaryotic small subunit ribosomal RNA", at positions 1470 to 1796 of the family's 1831-position model. The record is from RNAcentral.
CCCUUAGAUGUUCUGGGCCGCACACGCGCUACACUGAAGGAGGCAGCGUGUACUCCUGGAUCGAAAGAUUUGGGUAACCCGCGAAUCUCCUUCGUGCUAGGGAUUGAGGUUUGCAAUUAUCCUUCAUGAACGAGGAAUCCCCAGUAAGUGCAAGUCAUAAGCUUGCGCUGACUACGUCCCUGCCCUUUGUACACACCGCCCGUCGCUACUACCGAUUGAAUGAUUUAGUGAGGACUUCGGACUGGGACCGAUGCGGCUUUCGGGCUGCGUCGGUAUUCUGGAAAGAUGUCCAAACUGUAUCAUUUAGAGGAAGUAAAAGUCGUANCA